This 17769-nucleotide long non-coding RNA is filed under the name Lynx pardinus (Iberian lynx). The record is from RNAcentral. Lineage: Eukaryota; Metazoa; Chordata; Mammalia; Carnivora; Felidae.
GUGUACUCGCCACAGUCAACAACCUGGGUUCUCAGGAUUUCCAGGCUGGAGACGUAAUUUGAAGAUCGGAUAGAACACUUGUCACUUUCAUAAAUUUCUCGGCCAGCUUUAAACCACUGGAAGCGGACAUUGGGGGCAGUGUGGAUCUCACAGGUGAAUUUGGCCAGGUGGCCCAGAGCUACCUCCAGGGGCUCGAUUCUUCUCCUGAUCACUGGGGCAGCUGCAAAGGGAAGCAGAGUCCAUUAGCAUGCCUCCUUAACAGGCACACCAGUUUUCUUCUAACUUCUGUUGCUGUUAAUGAAGGAAAACAAUUGAAAUUGAUGAAAUGGAUUGCAGCAGUUUAAGACAAGUGACUGGAACGUGAGAACAAUCAUUGAAGGUAAAAGAAGACAAUAGGUAGCUUUUAACAUCUUCAAUCAUUACUCUGCAGUGAAUUGUGAAAAAAAAUGAUUAAAAGGUGAUGCUAUGGGCUUACAUGCAUAAUAACAUGAUGUACUCUAAAUAUACCAUGCUGGCUAGGUACACUGUGAAUAGCAUUUCAUAAUGUGAUAUACUAAAUACAGUGAUGAAGUGAAAACAGCAUCAAAAAAGAAGUAAAAAUACGAAACACAAAUGGACAAUUAAUCAUGGUUAUUUUGAGUUUAGGGAUUAGACUGGCAAUUUCAGAGGAGCUAGGUGUUCACUGACAGCUUUUAUUGCAUAUUAUUAAAGUAUUUUGAAGUAAAUAUAAACUAAAAAAACCUGUUGGUAUUAUGAAACAUAUGAAAAUACGUUUUAUUUUAAAAAUAAAUAGCAACGUAGAGAUGAUGUACUACCCUGUAAGGCAGUCAGGAAAAAGGAGAAGAAUUAAUAACCAUGAUUAUGUCUGUGAUGUCAUUCUUACUCUACACAAAUUGCAUCCUGGCAGAGGCAGGUAAGUGAAAACUCAGUGAUGAAAACUAAAACAUUACGAUUCAGUGAUUGUUAGAGCGCGACCCACUUCAUCCUUAAAAAUCCAACCUCUUUUGACCACAGUGAGUUUUGCUGAAGUUGCUGUGUGUCCAUGUUCAUUCAAGGCCUCACAGGUAUAUGUUCCUUGAUGUUCUUCUGUAUUUACUUUGUCGAUUACUAGCAUGUAUGUAUUUUGAUCUUGUAAACACUUGAACUUUUCAUCUGAACACACCAGUUUGCCCUCAUAAUACCAAUUCACCUCUUUGGCAUUUGUUAUGGAUGACGUGAGGUUGACAGGGUCACCUUCCUCCAUAGUAGUGUCCACCAAGGGCGUGUGUAUGACAGGACCAUGUUCUUGGACUAAGCUGCCCUCAUUUUCCUGUACCUCUUCGAGGCCAACCUCCCUGGUACCACUUCCGGGGGACUUUCCUUUUUCCUCUGAUGGGUCUGGUGUCUCAUCAGGGAUAGCAGCUGAAGCAACCUCAUCAGGGACAUGUAUGUUAUCUUCAACUUUGAUCUGACUUUCCACAUGGAAACAGCUGACCUCUUCCACAGAGACGAGAUAUUUAGAUUCGACUUCGGGUUCUCUGAUUGUUUCGACCUUCUGUGAAACUGAAAAAGGACCCAUUUCUCCUUGCAAGCCUGUUUUGCCUCCUUUCUGGAUUCUGGGAUCCUCAGCUGUUAAGAUGUUUAUUUCCUCACAUAUAAUAGAGCACAAAGCAUCCUUAAGUUCCGUUCUCAAGUUAGCCAUUUGAGGAUCAAUGCCUUCAAUAGCAAUGGUUAAUUCUUCUGUUAGCGACUUCACCGAGGUAAUAAGGUAGGUGCACAUAAUGCGUUUGGGCUCUUGGGUGAAGUUUAUGGCCUUGAUCUCCACCCUUUCAAUGUUUCUUAACCAUUCAGAGAAAAGACUCGGUUGCUCACUGGCCACUGCUGCUUGCAAAGCCCUGCGGAUCUGAAUUUUGAGGUUUAAUCGUUCUUCUUCUGGAAUUCCAGAAAGCAAACUUUCCUUAGAAAGAGUGUCACUUACCUGCACCUCUUGCACACCAUUUAUCACCAUGGGCUCUUUUUUACACUCACUGGUUUGGUUCAGGGGCGCUGCCAGGUUGUCAGAGUGCUCUUUGAGCAGUACCUGCUUUUCCUCACAUGCUAGCGGAAACCUUAGGGACUUGCCUUCCUCAGUCCUGGCUGCAAAAUCUUGCACUGCACUUUCCAGUUGAUCUGUACUUUCCAUCAAAAUUUCACCUUCUGAGCAUGUGUGUUCUGAAGGGAUCUGGGGCUCACAGUUGACCUCAGAGAUUGUGAUGUCAAGACCCUUGAAACUUUCCAUGCUGCCCUCAGCUAAGCUCUGACUCAGGAUGAGAGCACUUUGUUCCUCCUGCUUUUGCAGAAUCACUCUUUGCUCAGUAUCCAUUGUGGAUACUGUCUUUUCUUUUGGUAAAAGUACUUCCUCAGCCACAGAGGUUGGAUAUGAAUGGGCUGGAGCUUCUUCGAUUGAAGAUUGUGGAUAACUCCCUUCAGGUUCAGCUAAUAACGUUUUCAGAGGCUCCACUGGUAAUGAAGUAAUUUCCUCUAUGGAAAGAGCACUUGGGAAGACUUUUUCAGUAUCUGAUAGGACCCCCUGUGACUCUGGCUCUUGAGGCACUAGAAUAUCUUCUUUGGGGAGGGUUUUCUGGGCCUGCACAAUCUGCAGCUGUAAACUGGGAGACGGUUCCUUGAUAGACUGAACAUGAAGAGUGCCACUGAUGGAGAGAAGUUCCCUGGUGCUGUCUGCAUUAGGCAUAUUCUGCUCCAACGUGACUGUGGAUUGCAGUUGUUCAGCCACUAAAGUAACUUGACUACUCAGUUCUUUGGUUUUAAUCACAUGCUCAUAAGAAAGCUGCUGGUUUUCUUCUGCAAUUAAAGCAGCUUUCAAAACAGUAUCCUUCACAAAAGCUGCAAUUUCCUGCUCGGAGUCAAAUGCCUCAAUGGCAGGAUCCUUUAAUGACAUCGGUGGAAAAUCUUUAGUAGCCUCUGGCAUGGGCUUUGCUUUACUGGGAGCAUCAGUCACGUUUGGGUCUUCCAGAAGCACGAGAAGCUCUGCAGCACAGGUGGACUCACCCCACCUAUUCUCUGCUUUACAGACAUAGAGGCCACUAUCUUCCCUCUGAGGGUCAUUGACAAUGAGCGUCCCGGAACCAUCAGGAUUAUGAAUGAUGGUGUAAUAAACACUGGUGUAAAGCUGUUUGUUUUCUUUGAACCACAAGACAGUGGGUGCAGGCUCUCCAAGUACUGUGUACUCAAAGAUGGCAGGGAGCCCCUGAGCACAGUGAAUUGGUUUGAACUCCUUAACAAAGUAAGGAGGACAGGGACCUUCAAACUUGUCCAGAAUUUCUUCCACUGGUUCUGGUUCUGUCUCUUUGUGCCCCUCUCCUUUGGAGCUUAUUUUUAGAUAGGCACUGCAUACUGUCUGUCCGUAUUCAUUACUGGCGAUGCAUGUAUACUCUCCCUCAUCCUCAAAUUUGGUGAACAGAAUGAUCAGACUAUGAUCAUUACCAUCGAAAACAAAUUUGUAGUCAGCAGAAGGGAUUAACAUCAUUCCAUUGAAGAACCACUGAAUUUUAGGCUUGGGAAUGCCAGUGACAGUAACAGACAGUUUAGCCACAUCCCCUAUGCUUAUUUCAACAUUUGACACUUCUUUGAUGAAAACUGGAACAUGGCCUUCCUUUUGGGAAUCAAAUUUCGUUGAAUGAACUGGAGGUUCAGACAAAAGUUCAAGUGUUUCCUUUCUAUUAGAUAAUUGAAGGCCAGAGCUAUUGGUUUGGAAUCCUUCUUCCUCAGCAGACAGAAGAAAACUAGAAAACUCUGUAUGGGGAAAAAUUAUUAUUAUUUUAUUAUCAGUUUUACUUAACAACAACAAAAAUAUAGAAGUCAAAGAAUUAUGUACCAGCUGAUGGCCUUCUUCUGCUUUAUUCCUGGAAUCGCUAGCGCAUCUUGAGAUUUACCAAAAAGCACAUUCCUAAUUUUUUAACCUUAGCUCAUUAUAUCAUAUUAUAUAAUUAUAGAUACUGUACUAAUGCAACUUUCAAUCCACAUCACUUGUGUUAGAGGUUACAAAUUUUAAAGCUGUUUUAUGAGUUCCUCUUUGUGAUAUAAGGUUUGAAAACCUGCUGCCUCUAUAUUUAUAAUAAAAGAAUCCAGGAUUAUUUAAAUCAAUUUCUAAAAAGAUCCAGGAUAGUUAUUUACAUUUAAGAAUUUUCUUGAGUUCAGAAUGAUAUCUAUCUUCAAAUUGAAGACCAAUGAUUUCCAAAAUAAAACAUCUAUGUUUCAGUUACUGCUUAUAAACUGAAGCUAUUCUUAAAAAUAAGAGGCUACAGAAAAUACUUAAUUUGAAUUUGUAAGAGAACCACCUCUUUCAGUUACUAGAAAUUCAGGCCUUCUUUUGCCGUGUAAAUGGCCAUAUUAUUUUAACAAAGCUUUUAUAAUAAGGCUUUUGUUGUCAAGAAAAUGGGAGAAGGAGAAAUGAAAGAAAACAACUCCAACAUUAAAAACUGGAUUGUACUUUAUUGUGUGAGAAAUACCUACACACCAUUAUGGAACAGAAAAACAAAAGAGUGAACAACGGAUAUUCUUUAAACAGGAUCAUGGAUGACAGGAUGAAGGGCUUAAUUUGAUAACAAGGAAUUCAGCUUUUCAUUAAAUCUGUUAGGAAUGUAGAACAGCACUGUUGUUAAUUGUUUUAUUACCUUCCCCCAAAGAAGUAUUAUUAUUUUAUUAAUUCACUCCCUUUGCAUCACAUGGAAUAGCCAGGCCUUAAUUCCUUUCUGUUCUGGUGUGGAAGCAUUAGAAGUCAGGACUCUAGUGUCUGUUGGCUUUAAAUGUACUGGCAAACAUUAUCUACAGCAUGUACACCACAUACUUGGUUAUUUAUUUUUUCAAUUAGUAAGCCAGAAAACCAUUGAUUAAUUUCAUACACUAAUGGUCACCACUUAACUUUACAUUUAAUUUGUAACGUAUAACUGAUGUCCACUUUCCCUUCACUUGAACUCCCAAAAUACCUGGAAAGGGAAUGAGUGUGAAUAUAGUUAAAUUACCCCAAUUCACUAAUAUGUUGAAAUAUUUUCAGUUGUUUUCCCUUACUUCUAAUAUGGUGUUUUGACCAUAAAAAAUACAAUAAAUAAAAUUCAAAUGUGCUCAAACAUGAAAGGUAUAGUUAAAAAUACAUGUAGUAGUAGCAGCUAAUAAUUAUGUCUAAACUCUAGUAUACAUAAUACAAUGAAUUCUUUAUCCAGCAUCAGGGAAAUUAAUAUUUCAGGCUUUUAAGUUAUAUGCCAUUGACUCAGAAAAAAAUUCUACUCAAUUAUCUACAACAAUAAGUAAGCCAAGACUUAUUUUUCUUUAUUCAGUCAUUGUUAUUAUUCUGAAUAUCCUCAAGUUCAAUGCAUUUGAAACUAAAAAUUGUAAUGAGCAAAAUCAAAUUCUUCCUUCCUGUCAAUUUGAUAAAAUGUUCUUUCCUUUCCUUUCCUUUCCUUUCCUUCCCUUCCCUUCCCUUGUCCUUUUCCCUUCCCUUCCCUUCCCUUGUCCUUUUCCCUUCCCUUCCCUUGUCCUUUUCCCUUUCCUUCCUUCUUUCCUGAAACAGGUUUUGAACUGCCCCACCACUGUGCCAGCUAUUGUCAUGUUUCUCAUGACCUGAAUUUCUAGUUUAUUGAAACAUCCAUUUUGUAACUAGGAGUAGAAUAAAUCCCUAAGUCCCUAAAGGGAUUGAUGAUGUGAUAUAUUACAUUAUACCCAUACUUAUUACCACAGAUAUUGUGUGCUCACUGGUUGAAACAGAAACGAUUGUUCCACAAUAGUAUAUCUGGAUGAGUUAUGGUGACUCAAAACAGGUAAAACAAAUGUGUUUUUUUUUUUGGGGGGGGGGAAGUAGGGGAGGGGUAUAAAGCCUGAAUAUAUGAAUUCUUUUGAAUAUUAAAUUUAAAUGAAGUGUUAAAUUUUUUAGAAUUAAAAGCAAUAUGUUUAAUAUGAUCAUGGUACAUAAAAGUUGUUCACUGCAGGGACAAAUACAGCUGUUAGGUAACAGUGAGUAAUUUAGAAUUAGACGGAGGAAAGAUUCACAACUUCAGUAUUAUAUUCUGUUGUUUUUCUCAUCAUUUGUUGCAAAACUAAAAUUUAUCCUAAACUAUAUUAAGAAAAGUUACCAUUGGAACAACACAGAAUCACAGAGUUGAACAAUCACCUCUGAGGUCUUUUGGUCCAACUCCUCAUUUUCAGUUAAGAAAACUGAAUUUUUUAGUAUUUAUUACAUCUUUCCGUAAGAAGAUUCAGGUUCACAGUGAUAACAUAGACACAUUUUUAAGGAUUCUGUGAAUUUAUUAGAAUUAUAAUUUUGAAAACAAAUUCACUUUAGGAACAUAUAUACAUCUUAAAUUUGAAUACUUAUGAAUUUCUAGUUUUAAUGAAAUUCAGUAAAAAUGACAAGAAAGCUGAAUAUCUUAUUUGCAUAUAAUCUGAAAUACAAAUUACCAUAUUGCUCACUACUAAAAAUGUCCCCCCUUCUUUUUUCUAAUUUUAAAGACUCUGAAAUUGGUCUAUGGUUUAAAAUCUGUGUAUAAAUGUAAUAUAGUAGUUCCCACCCCUGCCCCCACCCCCCCCCACUCCAGGCCAAUAUCAAAUGCUGUAUUUCACACUUGAUGCCAUUUUAAAAAUUGAGAAAAUAGGGUAUUCCCAAAAGUGGAAAGAUUUUUCUUUGCAUAUUUUGCAAAUAUCUAGAUGAACUCCACCCAAAAAAGAAAGCACCAUUGGUCCCUGCAAAACCAGCAAGAAUUAAAAUAUUUAAGAAGGGGGACAUUAAUACUGAAAAUAUUUGUAAAAGAGCCAAACAAAUAUAUUAAGAUCGCAAGGUAAAACAGAUUAUAGAGUUAGUCAUCAACUGGGUGAAGCUGGGUUCUGUUGUUUGUUUUGUCUAUUCUAAGUCCAAGUCAGUAUGCAUGGAUUUGGAUGCAAAGAGGUUAUAAUUUCAAAACUGACUUACACUCAGAGCGGAGAGGAAAUUUACCUUACCGAUUUGUCCACGUGGUCAUGUGACACGGUCUUCCAUCUUACGUUUUACUUUACUUAAAUAGCUUAUCUGCUAAAAGAGAAUGCAUUCUACUGAAACUCUUUUGUGGAGGAGGAACGAGGGUAAAGCAGCAGUACAAACAGUUAGGUGGCCACAGAGAUAUUUAAUUGCGUUUGAUGAUUCACAACAGAGUUGACACAGUGAUGGUUCCACAGCUUAGAUGACAGACUAUUUACAUGUAUUACAAACACAAGAUUUCUCCAGAGAGAAACUGUUUUCCCAGGCGUUUUCCACGUAUUGAAUUCAAAUCGAGUAGACCUAUUUGGAAAUUUAUUGGAUCGAUCUAAUUUGGGAAAUCUGGAGCACUCGAAUCGAUUCACUACUUACUGAGGCACCGAAACAUUGCACAGGAAACUAAGUUAGGGUGAGGGCCGCACAGGUCUCCGCCAUUCCUGACUUGUUUGUAGCCACACACCUGUACUCACCUUCAUCAUCUUUUACUAAGCUUGUUAUGAAUAGGUUGUGGAACCCUAUGCCACUUUCCUCAGCGCUGAACCUUGUACCUUGCACCAACCUCCCAUCUUUGUACCAGUAAACCGUGGGUCUUGGAGAGCCACGAACUAAACACUGGAAAUAAGCUGCGGUACCUACAGGUGCAUAACAGUCAGAAAUACCUUUGAUAAAUCUGGGAGGCCCUUCCACCACCUGAAAUUCAAAAAAGCUGUCUGAAUAUUUGCUCUUUAGGACUAAUUCUUCCUUCAUACUGCUUAAAGUCACUUUACUUUUCUUUGUCGUCAUAGCAAACAUUUCAGAAUCUCCCAUGGUGAGGAAUCCCCGGCAGAUAGCCUCUCCUACUCGAUUGAUAGCUCUGCACCUAUAUGUUGCACUGUCAGACGGACAGACAUUUCGAAUUUUAAGGGUGUGACUUCCCUUCUCCUCACUGAUCACAUAUUUGAUGUUAUCUGGCUCGAUACACAUAUAUUCUUUAUACCAUUUAACUUCGGGACUAGGGAUGCCUAUGACUGAACAUUUGAACACAGCGUCUGAAUUUUCUGGAAUUUUAAAAUCACAAAUAGGCAUUAUAAAGCGAGGAGGCAUUUCAAAUACUUCUAAAUCAAUUUUUAAAUCUUUGUCUUCUUCUUCCCUUGAAGCCAUACUUGGAUCUGCUAAAUUCAAAGGUAGAACAUCCAGACUCACAAUCAUGCUUUUAUGAUCAGGAGUAAAUUCAGGAACUGUGACUAUUUUCACUUGCUUCUCAAAUUCCUUAACAUCCUUUUCACUUAAUUCAACUUCCAGGACAAUUUCUUGAGGAGAAGGUGUUCUGGACGAUGUAGUGUUUUCCAAAUCAAACUCCAUGACAUGCUGAUGUGUUACUGGAGGUGGGAGAGCCACUGCUGUUUCUCUUUGGGGUACUAUGUCUACACUGGCAAAGCUCUUUGCUUCCCCUAUGAUGUUUACUGCAUGGCACAUGUACUCUCCUGCCUCUCCUUUUUGAAUGUUAGAAAUUUCCAAAGAACACACAUUACCCACCCUUUCUAUUUUGAUUCUUUCAUCUGGCUCGAGCAAAGAUUUAUUUCGAUACCAUUUCACACCAGGAACUGGAAUGCCCUCAACUUCAACAAUGAAGCCUAAUGUUGUGUUCUCAUAUAUCUUCCUUUUGGUCAGAGGCUCAAUAAAAGAUGGGGGCAUUUCAUUGUCUUUUGGUUCAAUGGCUUCAUUGGGUGUGCCAAAUGAAUCAGAACGCCAUAGUUCAUAAGCUGAACUUCUCUCUUCUGUAGGUGUAUGAAAAUGUUCAUUUGGUGUACUGUCCUCCCUUUCUGUUUUUGAUGAGUAUCUUUUAAAGUUUCCAGUGGGGUUUGGUCCUCCAGUAGGAAUAGAAUAUUUUUCAACCGUUUCUCCUCCUAAAGGUGUAGAAUAUCUCUCUAGUGUCUCUCCUGGGGGUGUAGAAUAUCUCUCUAAUGCCUCUCCUGGGGGUGUGGAAUAUCUCUCUAGUGUCUCCCCUGGGGGUGUGGAAUAUCUCUCUAGUGUCUCCCCUGGGGGUGUGGAAUAUCUCUCUAGUGUCUCCCCUGGGGGUGUGGAAUAUCUCUCUGCUACCUCGCCUUCGGAAGGUGUUGAGUACCUUUCGGCAGCUUCCUCUAAAGGUGUGGUUCUUGCAAUAGUCUCACCUCCUGAAUUUGUUGAGGAUUGUUUAGUUGUAUCUGAAGGAGUAAAAUAUAAAUCAGGAGACUUUGGAGUUUCAAAAUGUUCAACAGAGGAUGGUGGGGUAUAAAACUGAUCUAACUCAGGGAUCUCUUCACUGCUUGUACUUCCCACAUCAAUCGAAAUAUCAGAUUCAGGAGAAAAUGGGCGACCUAAUGUUUCCUGUUGUUGGUUGUAAUAUUCAUACACAGUGCUGAAAGUUACUUCUUCAACCUCCAUUGAUGUGAUUGAUUCACUCUGAACAUGCUUUGCCUUGCAUGUGGUGUCUUUCAUUUCAGGAACUUGGUGCUUUCCAGCAGCAAGUAAGUAUUGUGUUAGGGAGGUCUCAGAGUCCAUUACUUCUGCUGUAUGUGCUUCAUCCAAUUUAGGUAGAUUUUCAGACAAACAAGUUUCUAUCUUUCCUUCUUCCGUAGCGGAGAAACAAGUUUCAUUCUGAACUUGAACUUCUUCAUAGCAUUUUUCUUUUCCAAAGGCAUCACUUUUUUCACUAGUUUGUUCAUUUGGAUUCUGCUGUUCCUCAGUCGUCAAGAAUGGAAAGCUCAAGGAGACUUUUCUGUGGCAUGUAGCUGCCUCAUGAUCAUCACCACCUUCGUGGUCUCCCAAAAUUCCAGUGACGUAUCCCUGUGUCUCUCCACCCUGCUUUUGAAAUGGGGCCAACUCUGGUUCCAAAGUAUGCUCUUGUUCCACUUCAUGAACCUCUAAAAGCUUUUCCUCACUUGCUGCUUUUUUCAAAUGUGAAAUGAAACUUCUAUCUCCAUUUUCUAGAGAACUUUUUUUCUCAGAAAUAUCCAUUUCUCCAACAUCAGUAGAUGAGGUUUGAAGUGGGGCCCAUGAUUCACUGUGGGUUUCUUCAGAAAAUGAUUUAAGAGAAAUAUCAGUAUGUGAAAUUUCUAAAUUGUGUUCCUGUGUAUGUUUUUCCAAAUAAAAGGUAUUUUCAUCCAAAUGACUUUUCUCCAUCACAGUCCUAUUUGAAAACCCUUGACUGGAAGAAAUUUCUGGAUUGGUGAAUAUGUUAUCUUGCACACUUUUAGAGGUAUUUUGUGUUUCGGAUUGCAAUGUUUCAGUGCCAGCAAUUUCUUCUUGGUAAGGUGUUUCCUCCUGCCUAGUUUCUUGCCCUUGAAACUCCUUUGCUGGAUCUCCUAUAUGAGAAUACAUUUGUUUUAGAUCAAAUACAAUGUUCUCAGCACCAGCUAUUUCAGAAGCAGGACGUUGGAUUUUAAAGUAUGCUUCUGGUUGACUGCCAUCUAAUGCUUGGAAUUUUAUAUUUGCAUUUUCUAUUUGAGAGUGGAAUUGCUUUAAGUCAAAUGUAAUAGGUACUUCAUGUUCAGUCCUUUCAGAAAUUGUAGACUGAUCUAGAAGACCUGUUUCUUUUGGUUGUUCCCUCUCUUGCACUUCAAAUUCCUUAAGAGUUUGAGAAGAAAGCAGCUUUAAAUUCAUCACAAUGUCAGAGGAAUCUGGUUCAGUGUUUGGAGACAUUGUCUCUGCCUGACUUAGGUUACUUGAUCUUGAGUCUCUUGGCUUCAAUGGAAAAUCCCUGUCACCAAGCUUCCUUUGAGGAGGAUUGACAAAUUUCCUGGUCAGUCUUUUUUCUAGAACCCCUUUUUCUACACGUUGUAACUUUUCAAAUGCAAUGAUUCUAUGCUUCACUUUUUUUCCUGGGUAAUACCUCUCUUCACCCAGGGGUUCUUCAUACACAAUGAUAGAUGGAUCUUUUGUAUCAUAACUAUCAGAAGUUCUCUCAGAGUAGAUAUUUGGUAAAUAGUCACAUAGGGCAUAUUCUUGCACAUCUUCCCUUUCUGCUUCAAGUUUUCCAAAAUCAUUUUUUACCUCUUUUCUAAUUUUUUUAACUUCACUGAUAUCCUCGACAAAUGGAUAAACAGUACCCUCUACUUGGUACCGCUUUGAUUUUUCACUUAUAUGUCCCUCUUUCCCCUCACCCUGAUAUUGUACGAGUUUGGCUCUGACAGGCUUGUUAAUUUUUGUGGCUCUAGAAGCACGCUGCAUAAAUCUAGGUAGUUUUUCUCUGGAAUAUGUGCAAUGAACCUGGGCUUUCUGGUCUAUCUGUUUAGUUGUCUCAAAGCUUUGAAAACAUUCCCUUACAGAAUAUUCUUUUAUAUUGGAUUGGGGAGUAAAAGGACCAGGUGGGUAAUCAUAAAAACGCGCCCUCACAGAUUCUCCUUGAAUUUGUUGAUUUUUGGAAUAUUUUGCAUAAAUUCCACCAAUAUUUCCUAAUCGACUAUAUUCCCUGUGAGUGUCAGGUUCCACUGUCAGAUCUGAAACACUCUCAGCUGUUCCUGAAUUGUUUUCAGCAACACACUUAUAUUUUCCAGAAUCUUGAGAAUUGAGGUCAUUAAUAUAUAAUCUGUGGCUAAAAUGAACUUCUUCAAACUGAAACUUGUGGUUCUGCUUUAACAUGACUCCAUUUUGAAACCAUGUUACAACUGGCUUAGGCUCACCAGAUAACAAACAUUCAAGUAUUAUGGAACCCCCCUCUCCACACCUGAUAUGCUUCGGCAUUCCCUGUAACAUUUUUGGUGGCUCGUUAGUAAUAUCAGAUGAAAAUAUAAAUUUGUGUUUUGGUGACCGAGAAGCUUCAUCUUGAGGUCUUGCUUUAGCUCCCAGCUCCUCGGGGUGAAACGGUUCUCUGGACUCUUUAUCCUGUUCUGGGGUGGGAGUAGCUGCUGUUAUCUGAAUUUCUACAGGGAAGGAAAGCAAUUCUACAUCUGCAGAGGGAGGACGUGGGGGGUUAGCGUGUAACAUAUGGAGAUUUGUUUGGCCCUUUUGUCUCAAAGAUGGAUGAAUGCCUUUUGUUUGGUCAAACACCAAUGCCAGCUCCUCUUCCUCAUCCGUGUACUCAAGAAACACAGGGACUCUAUGUGCUUCGACACCGUGCCCUUGUUUUGCUUUCACUUUAAGUGUGCCAGUUGUUUUUACUGUUCCAUAUUGGUUAAACAGCACACAGGUAACAGAACCUUCGUUUUGAGGAAGAACAGAAGAGAAAGUUAAUAUUGAAUAGUUUUCCGAGGUCUGAGAGAUAUAGCCUCGGUUCCGGGGGAUUGGUAUAUCAUUGCUGUACCACGUCACUAUGGGUGGAGGAUAUCCUUGAAAGUGACACACAAAUUUACAACUGUCCCCUUCAUAAACUUCUUGAGAUUCAAUUUCUUGAAGAAAUGAAGGUGGGCAACGUUGUGGAUGCUUUUGGAAAGGACUUUCAUAAAAUCGUGCAUUUUCUUCUUGUUCAGGUUUGAAUUCAUCAACUUUUGUGGAAAUAGAGUGCUGUAAUUCUCUCAAAUCAUCCUUUCUUAUUCUCACACUAUCUCGUUCUUCAUUUUCUUCAAUAUUUAUAACUGGACCAACAGAUUCACUGGCAUGUGGCAUAAUAACUUGGGGCACCUUUUCAGGAGUCUCAUAGAUUUCCUCGUUCUUAUUUACAACAGUGAUAUAUCUAGAUGACUCUCCAACUUCAGUUUUGGUCAUAAUUUCUUCAAGUGGUUUUCUUGCUCGGGUCUCCUCACUUACUAGAAUCUGACCAUAUAAAUGGUCUUUCUGUAGAUUUUCUCUUAGAAAUGCCUCUUGGCUCAUUCUUAUUUCAGUCUGGAGAAUUUCUUCAUCAACAGUAGUUUGAAAGCUUGUGGGAGGUUCUCCAGAUGCUACAUUUUGAUCCAUUUGAUUAGAAAGGACAUGUGGAUUUGGGACAAUACCCUCGCUUGAAGGAUCUACCUUGUCCCUACCUUCGGCUAGAUCAGAUACAGACCUGCUUUCCAUCUCCUCUCUAGACAGCAGAGUGUCUUUAUCGCUAGCUUCACUUCUCAGAGUUCUCGAGCUGAUUUCCGAUGACAUUUCUGAAAGAGAUAAUUUCUUUUUCUCCGUUAAGAUUUUUCUAGCCUCCCGUAAACGUUGCAACUUCGUUUUGGUCUCCUCAUCCAGGAAGCUUUCACCUACAUUAAGCCAUUCCCUUAGGUCAGGUUUACUUUCUAAAUAUUCUUCAUCACACAGAAAGUCAGUUUUCUUGCCCGGACUUACUGUCUUAAAGUGUAUAGUUCGCAUCAAUCCCAUUUGUUCUACAUCUUGUUUUUUGUUAAAGGGAGAGCCCGUAAACCUCAGGCCUACCUUUAUCCUGUCUUCUCUCCUUUCAGCUAAAGCCUCCAUAUUCUCAUGUGUCUGUUCUGCCCUUUUCAGAAAUUCUAAACAUUUCUCAUCUUGCCCUUUUUGCAUAACAAGCAAUGAUGCCGUUGAUUCAGUGGACCCUUCACUAUUAACUGCCAAUAAUCUAUAACUUCCAGAAUCUCUGUGCUGGACACUUUUAACCUCUAAACUGGAAGAGUGAUGAUGUAAAUCACUCUCAGUUUUUAUAACCCGUCGAAGACCUGUUGGGAUAGGUCGGUUGUUAUGAAACCAAGUCAUUUCUGGAGUUGGCCAGGCAAUUAAUUUACACAUGAAAACAACGGGUUCGCCCUCUAAAACAUAUUGAAAUGUAAGUUUUUGGGUAAAAGAAGGCUUGAAAUAUUCGGGCCAGGAGCUUGUAGAUGAUAUUCUACUUGCAUAUCGUUUAGCAGCCAUGGAGCUGUGGUCGAAGUCUUCAGAAUCUGAAAAGGCGUCGCGUGCAUCUCUUUCUGAAUGUUCAGAUUCUCCCUCAGAGGACAAUUCUGAAAGAAAAAUUAAAUUAUAAAGCAUUUUACUAUUUUCCAUAGUAUUUGAAAAAGUUGAAAAUAAAUGAAAUUGCAAAAUAGGAAAUAAAAUAAAAUGCAUGCUACAGAUUCUCACAAAUCCAUAAAAAAAAUUCACUCACCAUAUUUGUUCGAAUAAACGCAACACCAUGCUCUGUUUAAAAGAUUCUGACACGAAAAUCGUUCGUUGUCUGGUCUUUUCUUCAAACUGUUGAAAUUUCUUCUUGAACAAGCAAAAAUGCAUUUCAAAAUAACAUGUUCCUGUGCAUGUUUGUUUUGAGAGCGGGAAAUCUUUGUUCUUUUGGUGGCUAAGAGGAAAAUCUUACCUGACUUGCAGAGAGUGGAAUAAACGCCCUUUCUGAUCCUUUUGAUUGUUGGAUUAAAUUAUUAUCUUUUUGAGCAUUAACUAUUUAAAAAAAAUCUGCAAGAACUUUAACCAUAAGUAAUUAGCUAAAAUAAAAUGAGAAGGCGUUUAUUCGAACUAAUACAGCCAUAAAGUCACAAUGUUACGCAGAGAAAAGCAGGCAAUAAUGAUCACGUAAGGCAGCUAUCUGCAAGCCAGUGUAAGAGACAGAUCAAUGUUAAAAUGAUGUAUGUGCAUGAAGUGUAAACCAGAAUGAGAAUGUAACAUUUUCACACAUCCUAAAUGAAGUAGCAUUUCAAUCAUCGUAAUUCAUUCAUGACAUUGCAUUCUGAGACUGACAGCUAGGUGAUUGCCUAUUGUUCAAUUUAACUCGCUGCGAUUUUGAAAACAAACUUCCACUAAUUGAUUUCAUGCAUUAAGAUGACAACUUUUUCUGAUACACACUUAUGAAAAUGGCUGCAAACAUGAAGUUGAAAAUGGCUGAUAAAUUUUAAAUAUAAGACUUUAAAUCACUGUCAAACAAAUUACUGUGAAAUGCAUGUAACCAUCAGCAUACUAAACCAGGCAUGCGACAUAGUAAUAUAUACUCUAAGAGAUAUAUUUGUACAUCUAUGUCAUUUUUCUCAAUAUUACUAAGAGAAAGUAGGCAGGUCAAGGAUUCUAUUAAUCCUUCAGAAUUUCUACUUAAAUCUCACAUCCAGUAUAACAAUACCUUUCAUCUCCACCUCAAUCUCCUCUUCAAUCCUCCCGUGCAAAAUUGAUUCUGGGGCUAAAAUGGGAAAACAUAUAAAGAGAUUUUAAUGAUUAACCUGAUAUACUUUCUGCCUCAAUUCAUAUAUUCAUAUAAUUAUAAUUUCCUCUUCAUUCUAGUAACAGAAAACUAUGUCCCCCAAGUGCACCCAAAAAAUCCAUGCCAGACAAAUCAAUGAGCUGAUAAAGUACAUGACAAUGUUGGCAGAAAGAUUUUAAAACAUUUUUAUUUUAGGUUCUCUAUGAAAUUUCCACUUUUAGUUUCAUAACUCCCCAUGCCUUUACAUGCAUUCCAAAAAGCAAUCCAUCAACUAAAGGAAUAUUCUCUUUUUUAAAAAUAAAAAUGUCCUAUCGAUGGAACACUUGCUAAGAGAAGGAAUCACAUUUAGAAGGAACAUGCAUUUUCUAACUUGCCGCCUUUUGCCGAGGGCUAUUCUCAGGUUUUCCUGCAGAAUUAAGCGUUUCCUGCUAGUAAAUAUGCCUUUCAUUUGGACCACCUUUAAAACUUGAGACUACACAAAGUCUGGUUACAUAUUAAGGAGCAAAACAGAGUCCUCAAGUCAAAAUAGCUUUUAUUAUAUAGGGAAAAGGCGCAGGCUUUAGACACAAUCAUCUCUGGGGCAGCUUCCUGGGAAAGGUGGGUGCCCUGGUUCCCUCUUGUUCUUCUGUCCAUCCGUGUGGAACUGUGUGGGAACGCGGGACUCCAUGGCUCCUCCGUUCCUUGUGGGCUUUGGCAUGAAGUGAAUGACAAACUUGCUGUUUUCCUUGACGAUUCUCUCUUUACUUCAUGGGUUGUUUUAUUUUGUGACUCUUUGUGUGUUUUAAAACUUUUAGUGUCUGAACCAAGGGCAAUUUUUGUAACUGUUCUGGUUUGCGAUUCGUUUGCUAGGUGAGAAUAAAGUUAGGAAAAGUAAUAAAUUAGCUGUGUUUGUAAGAGUAAAACACACGCUGAAUUUAGAGAAGGUGAUGUGUCAUUAGGAUGAGAAGGAAAGCAGCAUGUUAGUUCCCAAACUAACAUAUGAUAUACCUAUACUUUUACUUACAGAAGAACUACUCAAACAGACUUACAGGGUUUACCUUCCUACUUGAUCUUUGCGGAUAACUACUCUGCCUACGUAGAGUUACAAGGCCAAAGUAAAAGAGGAACAUGUAAAGACUGGUCUUAUGUGCGAUAAUUAGAUAACUGUGCCUGAUCCUUCAUUCUUCAAACACUUAAAAGUGGCUUAUCUUUUCACUUUCUUAAGUACCAGUGAGGCAGUCUGGACUUCCCAAGAGAAAAAUGCUCAUGCUCCAAGAACACUUUAAUGAUAUAAUCCAUUAGAACUGAGUGAACUAGAAAUCCUGUGGCAAAAAUGUCCAGCUUAAAUCCACUCUGGCCAUGUGCUGAUCGAGCAUGUACCAUGGCCCUACAUUCCUUAGGAAACGAGUUGAAAGACCUACAUUGUUCCUACCUCCACAACACAGCCAACUCUCAAUUAUAUGGCUGCAGAAACCGUCAUGGUUGUCACCACGUCACCUCCAGAUAAAUAAUCACUAUGUGUGAUUAUUGCACUAGCCAGCAGCUAUGGUGAAAUUGAGGGUCAACUCUUUGGAUGGUGGAAUUUUCCAUCUAAUUUGCAUAACUAGCUCUCAGUUCUGGAGCUAUUCCCUUUGAAGCCUAUGAAAAUGUUACCAGAAAGAGCUACAGAACAAAAUGUCAGAUUAAGAGAUAAAAAAGACUCCUUUGGGAGAAUGAGGAUUACAGAUAUAUUAAAUGAUAUAUGAGACUCUGUCAAAAUUCAGAGCCAAGAUGGCUGUCAUAUAGCACUGUACUAUCCCCUGCUCGUCUCUAAUAUUUCAAAAAUGGAUGGAGAGAUCAGAAAAGACCUUGAGGCCACAGUCUCCACCGACCCCUGGAGAUGCUAGAACUUCUUCCAUCAGUUACCUUUCACGGGACUCAGUAAAGACUCUUUGCUUACAGACAUACAGCAUGGGAUUCUAGCACCUGAAGAAUAACUUUCCUGUUUCAUUAGUAUCUAAAAGGAGGUCCAUGGAUAAAAGGAACAACUUAUCUUUUCCGAGACAAAUUUAUUCAUUCCCUUCCAGACAUGGUGGCAAAUCAAGCAUGAUAACAAUAAAAAUAAUAAUCUUGCCAUGAGAUAAUUCUAGAAUUCCAGGAAGAUCUGAGACUUUGAAGCAGCAGCACCUAUUAAGAAAUAGCUAUAGACUCCUAAUUUUGGUCCAGACAGAGCCCUAUCAUUAUCAGUGCACAAUUUUCUAUUGCUCCUUAUAAACAUCUAGAACUUCCAGAUCUGCAAACAAAGGGCAGAUGAGAACUUUUGAGCCUCCUAAUAUUAAAAUAAUUAAAUUUAAGCUUGGCGCAGUAUCAGGCACAAUAAUAAAUAAUCAAUAAUUGAUUAACUGUAACAGCUUGACCUUCUUCAGUGUGCCUCGUAGGGGGCAUAUUUGGGAAAUACUAGGAAAAGCAUCGCACGUGAAAUAAACCAUAACCUUCCGAAAUGAGAUUUGAAAGUUACACUUCCUUGAAUCUAGACUGGAAACUUAAAAAUGUUCAUCACGAGUCUGGCCAAUAACUUGGCUGACUUUCGUGAGUCUUUUACGAAUAGAGUGCUAAGUUAGAGAUAUUCUAAUUAAUAUAUUCAUUGAUUCAAUUUGCACAGCAGAAAAGCUGCAUAAAGCGAUGGGGAUGAAAUGAAGCAAGUCAGAGCUAAAAGCCAAAUAAGCACCUUCUAUGCUUAGUACUGCUGACGUUGUCUUCUCUCCAUACUCAUUGUGGACACUGCAGCUGUACAGUCCUUGGUCUACCAGCUGAACGUUACAUAUGA